CCCUGGUUAGCUCAGUUGGUAGAGCGCUCCACUUGUAAUGGAGAGGUCCCGGGUUCGAUACCGGACCAGGCG
Molecule: non-coding RNA, 72 nt
Organism: Ixodes scapularis (black-legged tick)
Lineage: Eukaryota; Metazoa; Arthropoda; Arachnida; Ixodida; Ixodidae
Source: Rfam